This 371-nucleotide long non-coding RNA is filed under the name Meriones unguiculatus (Mongolian gerbil). RNAcentral describes it as "lncRNA (ENSMUGG00000021151.1)". Lineage: Eukaryota; Metazoa; Chordata; Mammalia; Rodentia; Muridae. The record is from RNAcentral.
UUGUGCCUGCCUACAUUCCUGGGCCCCGCCCCUCCGCUUCGGCCCCGCCCCGGCCGGCCGCCAUGUUGGUCCUUCUGCCCAAGUCUCUCUAGCUGUAGGAGCUCUAGCUGGUUACCGCUCUCGACGCUGCCGAAUCUCUGGCCCUCUUUCUGCCCUGGUUGCACCCAGGCGGGCUGGCCAACAGCUCCCGGGGUGCCCUGUGUGUGCCUGCAAGUGCCCCGUGUGCCUGAAGGCUCUUUCACGUGAGAGAAAGUUCCUGCACUCCUCUGAUGAGCCUGGCAUUGGUGAAACACCUUUGUACGGUCAUCUGAGUAAAUAUUCCAGCAGCCCUCGGAGAUAACGAUGUUUGAACUGAACUACUAGGGAUUCUG